CUGAAUGAUGAUGGGAGUUUAUCAAUCUUGCUUUUUUUGAAUUCAAUUUUCAGAUCAGUGUUGUAAUUCUUCAAUUUUCUGCUUUAUUUUCUUAGAUAUGAUCUUUGGUUGAUUGUACUUUUGGCUUUUGCUAAUUUCAAUUGGGCCUUUUGGAUUUUUUCUCCGAUUCUUCUCAACCGGAAAAUGAAGGAAGUCUUUUCGAUAAAAGCUGAGGAACCCAGAAGCAAAACUCUUUGUAAAGUCUGAGGCAUUCAAAUAGAAAAGGGAAGAAGGGAAAUCAGUUUCAUCUCAAAUUUCAUAGGAGAAGAGCUUCUAUCCACAGAGUGGAGGAGGUUUGGUUAGACCUUCACAACCGAUUUUGAAGAAAUUUUAUAAGCAGUGUGAUCCUGGUCAGUGCUCACUGUUUCAGUCUCCUUUUCUAAAUUUUAUUCCCUGCUGAAUUACUAUUUGUUGCUGCACCACUUUUUGUAUAGAUAGAACUGCAGCAAGCAAUGUUUUUGGAGAGACCCCAUGACCAACUUUUGAUAGGCUAACACCUUUUGUAUAUAUACACCUGGAGCAAGUAGAACAACUAUUUUUUGGAAAAUGUUCCAGCAGCAAUUGUAACCAAGUUGACCUUAAACUAAGAUAGCCUAUUUUUUGAAAACUACUAUAAUGGAAAAUGUUGCCAGUAGAAACUUUGAUAAGAUCUCAAAGCUAGGGCAUGAUUUAAUUCAUCUUUUGUUUUAGAUGAUCUGCAGUGAUGAUAUUGUACUAUUUUGUCAUAUUGUACAAUUUUGUCUGAGAUCCUUGAUUUAUAAUGUAGCAAUGGUCUCAAGACAAUUGAAAACAAUUUUGUCGUCCUCUUAAGUUUAGUUCUAUUACAUUUAAUUUAUUGAUAACGGUACAUCCCGCAGCAAAGCGCGGGGAAGUUU
Rosa rugosa (rugosa rose) is the source of this 914-nucleotide long non-coding RNA. RefSeq lists it as uncharacterized. NCBI's taxonomy places the organism in Eukaryota, Viridiplantae, Streptophyta, Magnoliopsida, Rosales, Rosaceae. The record is from RefSeq and is a predicted model, not a curated record. The transcript has 4 exons.